GUUUUUGUUUGGAGAGUUUGAUCCUGGCUCAGGACGAACGCUGGCGGCGUGCUUAACACAUGCAAGUCGAACGGACCUUCGGGUUAGUGGCGAACGGGUGAGUAACACGUGGGUGAUCUGCCCUGCACUUUGGGAUAAGCCUGGGAAACUGGGUCUAAUACCGGAUAGGACUACGCACUGCAUGGUGUGUGGUGGAAAGCUUUUGCGGUGUGGGAUGGGCCCGCGGCCUAUCAGCUUGUUGGUGGGGUGAUGGCCUACCAAGGCGACGACGGGUAGCCGGCCUGAGAGGGUGACCGGC
RNAcentral lists this ribosomal RNA (298 nucleotides) under Mycolicibacterium iranicum. RNAcentral's name for it is "partial 16S ribosomal RNA". It matches the Rfam family "Bacterial small subunit ribosomal RNA", at positions 1 to 308 of the family's 1533-position model. Lineage: Bacteria; Bacillati; Actinomycetota; Actinomycetes; Mycobacteriales; Mycobacteriaceae. The record is from RNAcentral.